UGCCCCCGCCACAGGCACAGCCCAGGCAGUAGCCACCAGCUGUUGGACACUGGCCAUCACCACCAACCACUGGCCAUUGACCACCAGCCAUCACCACUGGCCAUCAGCCACCAGCCAUUGGCCACCGCCAUAAGCCACCAGCUGUCCCCACUGGCCACCAGUCCCAAGCCAGAGUGUGGCCACCACUUUGCAUAGUCCUUCCACCAACUUCCAGGGCAGUCAAGAGAACUGCCCACUGCGGUAUGAAACAGGUACCACUGACACACAUCCCCCAGCAAAAUGAGGGAUCCCCAGUGUGAAAAUACAGGUUGCCCAGAGAAGCUGUGGCUGCCCCAUCCCUGGAAGUGUUCAAGGCCAGGUUGGACAGGGCUUGGAGCAACCUGAUCUAGUGGAAGGUGUCCUGGCCCAUGGCAGAGGGUAUAAUGAGAUGGUCUUUAAUGUCACUUCCACCCCAAACCGUUCUGGAUUCUGUAACUCUAUAAAAAUUAUUUCUUUAUACUAAUAACAACUCUUGGCCAAAACCUGAUGUUUAGUUUUUAAUCACAAGUGAAAAGCGAACUUGAGAUCAAUGGGUUUGACAACUCAGCAGACACAGGCAGCACCAGCCAACAGGCACAGCCACUCUCAGGCCAGUGUGGGCCAGAUAGCACCAUGCUGCUCUUGAGCAAACCCCUUCCCAUGCCCACGCCUGGCAGAGCACUCCCAGGGCACAACCAGAGCUGCUGUGAACAUGGAGUGGGCUACAGUGCAGUUCACCUGUCCUUAGGGCUGCAGACAUGAGGUGCCUGAUAAACUGUCCUGGUGCUCAGCUGUAUUUGACCAAGCCCAAACAAAUGCUCAACACAAUGUGGCAUUUAAGGGAAUGCCCAAAAGCAUUUCUGCUGAUGCCCAAUCCAACCUGUCCUCCAGAUGUCUGGAUGUCUCAAAACUGGCUCUCCUCAGAAGCCACAGUCUGCUCUGUUCCUCAUCCUGAGGACUGCGGGGUUUAAAUGCGCUCUCAGAAAUGGCUGACUUAGAAUAAACAAGGCGCAGAGGCAACAAAAGAGGUCAUAUUUCACUUCUUCCCGAGCCUGAAAUCUUAUUGCUUUCUGGUGACAUCCAGCAAUGCAAAUAACCUCGUGUGCAUGCAGGGCAGAGCUCAGUGGCAUCCUCCUGGCAGCCCAGGCGCCCUGCUCUGGCUGACACCACCUGGGCAGGGGUCUGGCCACACGGUCUCAGAGGUCCCUGCCAACCCCGAACCCAACCUCAACCCUUCCGUGAUUCUCUCUACUCCUAAUCCUGUUCUAACCCAGCAUUUCUGCACAGCAGGUGCACUUGCAGAAGCAAGCUGUUGCCAGCCCGCCCUGCACCGGCCCAGUCUCUGGUUUGCUGAUGCUGUAAAUCCGUGCAGUUGCUGUGUGGGUCCGUGACACGCUCCUUGGACUGACCUCUCCUCUUCACCGUGGCAGUUCCCGGGGCUGGGCCGUGCGAGGAGCCGGUGCCGUGCCCUCGCAGCGCAUGGCCAAGUCUGAGCCAUCGGCCCCUUUGUGGCACGAACAAAGUCCGGGCUGUGGAUAACAAAACCCAGCACAUCUCGGCACUGAAGGCAACAAACCCCGAGCUGCCCCACACCACCGAGCUGGCCACGGACCAAACUACAACAACGAAGUGGAUUUGAUUUCAAGCAGCAAAUAGAUCCUAAGGAAAUACUCAACUCCUGGCUUUGUUUUCAUUUUAUCAACAAAUGGUGCCACUGGCAGCACCUCUGCCGUGCGACACCAACGGCCUGAGCCCGUGCGGUUCGGCAGGCGCAGGAACGGCCCCGUGCCAGGGAACAAGACCCCUGCACCAGAACCAACCUGGUUUGCAAAUGUAGCUGAAUAAAUUAUAUAAAUUCUGAUGAA
This is a long non-coding RNA of Pseudopipra pipra, 1883 nucleotides long. RefSeq lists it as uncharacterized. Lineage: Eukaryota; Metazoa; Chordata; Aves; Passeriformes; Pipridae. The record is from RefSeq and is a predicted model, not a curated record. The transcript is spliced from 2 exons.